Molecule: ribosomal RNA, 580 nt
Filed under: Bacillus licheniformis
Lineage: Bacteria; Bacillati; Bacillota; Bacilli; Caryophanales; Bacillaceae
Description: partial 16S ribosomal RNA
Rfam family: Bacterial small subunit ribosomal RNA
Source: RNAcentral
GAAAGCGUGGGGAGCGAACAGGAUUAGAUACCCUGGUAGUCCACGCCGUAAACGAUGAGUGYUAAGUGUUAGAGGGUUUCCGCCCUUUAGUGCUGCAGCAAACCCAUUAASCAYUCCGCCUGGGGAGUMCGGUCGCAAGACUGAAACUCAAAGGAAUUGMCGGGGGCCCGCACAASCGGUGGAGCAUGUGGUUUAAUUCGAAGCAACGCGAAGAACCUUACCAGGUCUUGACAUCYUCUGACAACCCUAGAGAUAGGGCUUCCCCUUCGGGGGCAGAGUGACAGGUGGUGCAUGGUKGUCGUCAGCUCGUGUCGUGAGAUGUUGGGUUAAGUCCCGCAACGAGCGCAACCCUUGWUCUUAGUUGCCASCAUUCAGUUGGSCACUYUAAGGUGACUGCCGGUGRCAAACCGGAGGAAGGUGGGGAKGACGUCAAAUCAUCAUGCCCCUUAUGACYUGGGCUACMCACGUGYUMCAAUGGGCAGAACAAAGGGCAGCRAAGCCGCGAGGYUAAGCCAAUCCCMCAAAUCUGUUMUCAGUUCGGAUCSCAKUCUGCAACUMGANUGCGUGAACCUGGARYCGM